This 489-nucleotide ribosomal RNA is filed under the name uncultured bacterium. RNAcentral describes it as "bacterial SSU rRNA". It matches the Rfam family "Bacterial small subunit ribosomal RNA", at positions 28 to 511 of the family's 1533-position model. The record is from RNAcentral.
GAUGAACGCUAGCGGCAGGCUUAAUACAUGCAAGUCGUGGGGCAGCAUGAGUAGCAAUACUUGAUGGCGACCGGCAAACGGGUGAGGAACACGUACACAACCUUCCUUCAAGCGGGGAAUAGCCCAGAGAAAUUUGGAUUAAUACCCCAUAAUAUAUUUGAUAAGGCAUCUUAUUAAUAUUAAAGCUUCGGCACUUGAUGAUGGGUGUGCGGCUGAUUAGAUAGUUGGCGGGGUAACGGCCCACCAAGUCUACGAUCAGUAGCUGAUGUGAGAGCAUGAUCAGCCACACGGGCACUGAGACACGGGCCCGACUCCUACGGGAGGCAGCAGUAAGGAAUAUUGGACAAUGGACGAAAGUACUGAUCCAGCCAUGCCGCGUGAAGGAUUAAGGUCCUCUGGAUUGUAAACUUCUUUUAUAUGGGACGAAAAAGGGCAUUCUUGUUCACUUGACGGUACCAUAUGAAUAAGCACCGGCUAACUCCGUGCCAG